This 448-nucleotide ribosomal RNA is filed under the name Cercospora canescens. Its description in RNAcentral is "eukaryotic LSU rRNA". The stretch from base 99 to 252 matches the Rfam family "5.8S ribosomal RNA". The record is from RNAcentral. Lineage: Eukaryota; Fungi; Ascomycota; Dothideomycetes; Mycosphaerellales; Mycosphaerellaceae.
UUGUUGCUUCGGGGGCGACCCUGCCGUUUCGACGGCGAGCGCCCCCGGAGGCCUUCAAACACUGCAUCUUUGCGUCGGAGUUUAAGUAAAUUAAACAAAACUUUCAACAACGGAUCUCUUGGUUCUGGCAUCGAUGAAGAACGCAGCGAAAUGCGAUAAGUAAUGUGAAUUGCAGAAUUCAGUGAAUCAUCGAAUCUUUGAACGCACAUUGCGCCCCUUGGUAUUCCGAGGGGCAUGCCUGUUCGAGCGUCAUUUCACCACUCAAGCCUCGCUUGGUAUUGGGCGCCGCGGUGUUCCGCGCGCCUCAAAGUCUCCGGCUGAGCUGUCCGUCUCUAAGCGUUGUGAUUUCAUUAAUCGCUUCGGAGCGCGGGCGGUCGCGGCCGUUAAAUCUUUUAUAAGGUUGACCUCGGAUCAGGUAGGGAUACCCGCUGAACUUAAGCAUAUCAAU